Molecule: ribosomal RNA, 480 nt
Filed under: uncultured bacterium
Lineage: Bacteria
Description: partial 16S ribosomal RNA
Rfam family: Bacterial small subunit ribosomal RNA
Source: RNAcentral
GACGAACGCUGGCGGCGUGCUUAACACAUGCAAGUCGAACGCUGAAGCUCAGCUUGCUGGGUGGAUGAGUGGCGAACGGGUGAGUAACACGUGAGUAACCUGCCCCCUUCUUUGGGAUAACGCCCGGAAACGGGUGCUAAUACUGGAUAUUCACUGAUCUUCGCAUGGGGGUUGGUGGAAAGGUUUUUUCUGGUGGGGAUGGGCUCGCGGCCUAUCAGCUUGUUGGUGGGGUGAUGGCCUACCAAGGCUUUGACGGGUAGCCGGCCUGAGAGGGUGACCGGUCACAUUGGGACUGAGAUACGGCCCAGACUCCUACGGGAGGCAGCAGUGGGGAAUAUUGCACAAUGGGCGAAAGCCUGAUGCAGCGACGCCGCGUGAGGGAUGGAGGCCUUCGGGUUGUAAACCUCUUUCGCUCAUGGUCAAGCCGCAACAUUGGUUGUGGUGAGGGUAGUGGGUAAAGAAGCGCCGGCUAACUACGUG